Molecule: ribosomal RNA, 429 nt
Filed under: Gemmatimonadota bacterium
Lineage: Bacteria; Pseudomonadati; Gemmatimonadota
Description: Gemmatimonadetes bacterium partial 16S ribosomal RNA
Rfam family: Bacterial small subunit ribosomal RNA
Source: RNAcentral
UAGGGAAUCUUCGGCAAUGGACGAAAGUCUGACCGAGCAACGCCGCGUGAGUGAAGAAGGUUUUCGGAUCGUAAAACUCUGUUGUUAGAGAAGAACAAGGACGUUAGUAACUGAACGUCCCCUGACGGUAUCUAACCAGAAAGCCACGGCUAACUACGUGCCAGCAGCCGCGGUAAUACGUAGGUGGCAAGCGUUGUCCGGAUUUAUUGGGCGUAAAGCGAGCGCAGGCGGUUUCUUAAGUCUGAUGUGAAAGCCCCCGGCUCAACCGGGGAGGGUCAGUGGAAACUGGGAGACUGGAGUGCAGAAGAGGAGGGUGGAAUUCCAGGUGUAGCGGUGAAAGGCGUAGAUAGAUGGAGGAACACCGGUGGCGAAGGCGGCUCUCUGGUCUGUAACUGACGCGGAGGCAAGGAGGCGUGGGGAGCAAACAGG